UCUCCUGGAAAACGGGUGGUAAUGCCGGAUGUUCCACAUGAUCGCAUGUGAUUGUGGGAAAGAUUCUAUCGGCGUGGGAUGGGGUCGCGUCCUAUCAGCUUGUUGGUGAGGUAACGGCUCACCAAGGCUUCGACGGGUAGCCGGCCUGAGAGGGCGACCGGCCACAUUGGGACUGAGAUACGGCCCAGACUCCUACGGGAGGCAGCAGUGGGGAAUAUUGCACAAUGGGCGCAAGCCUGAUGCAGCGACGCCGCGUGAGGGAUGGAGGCCUUCGGGUUGUAAACCUCUUUUGUUUGGGAGCAAGCCUUCGGGUGAGUGUACCUUUCGAAUAAGCGCCGGCUAACUACGUGCCAGCAGCCGCGGUAAUACGUAGGGCGCAAGCGUUAUCCGGAUUUAUUGGGCGUAAAGGGCUCGUAGGCGGCUCGUCGCGUCCGGUGUGAAAGUCCAUCGCUUAACGGUGGAUCUGCGCCGGGUACGGGCGGGCUGGAGUGCGGUAGGGGAGACUGGAAUUCCCGGUGUAACGGUGGAAUGUGUAGAUAUCGGGAAGAA
Molecule: ribosomal RNA, 549 nt
Filed under: Bifidobacterium bifidum
Lineage: Bacteria; Bacillati; Actinomycetota; Actinomycetes; Bifidobacteriales; Bifidobacteriaceae
Description: bacterial SSU rRNA
Rfam family: Bacterial small subunit ribosomal RNA
Source: RNAcentral